This 313-nucleotide ribosomal RNA is filed under the name uncultured eukaryote. RNAcentral's name for it is "partial 18S ribosomal RNA". It matches the Rfam family "Eukaryotic small subunit ribosomal RNA", at positions 1470 to 1796 of the family's 1831-position model. The record is from RNAcentral.
CCCUUAGAUGUUCUGGGCCGCACACGCGCUACAAUGGCAAAGUCAACGAGCUAAUCCUAUGCUGACAAGCACAGGUAAUCUUUUCAGUCUUUGUCGUGAUGGGGAUAGACCCUUGUAAUUAUUGGUCUCCAACGAGGAAUUCCUAGUAAACGCAAGUCAUCAACUUGCAUUGAUUACGUCCCUGCCCUUUGUACACACCGCCCGUCGCGCCUACCGAUUGAAUGGUCCGGUGAAGUCUUCGGACCGAUGCUAACUCGUUGGCAACGGAAAGUCGAGUAAACCUUACCAUUUAGAGGAAGGUGAAGUCGUAACA